UACGUAGGGUGCAAGCGUUAAUCGGAAUUACUGGGCGUAAAGCGUGCGCAGGCGGUCAUGCAAGACAGAUGUGAAAUCCCCGGGCUCAACCUGGGAACUGCAUUUGUGACUGCAUGACUUGAGUACGGUAGAGGGGGAUGGAAUUCCGCGUGUAGCAGUGAAAUGCGUAGAUAUGCGGAGGAACACCGAUGGCGAAGGCAAUCCCCUGGACCUGUACUGACGCUCAUGCACGAAAGCGUGGGGAGCAAACAGG
This 253-nucleotide ribosomal RNA is filed under the name uncultured bacterium. Its description in RNAcentral is "partial 16S ribosomal RNA". It matches the Rfam family "Bacterial small subunit ribosomal RNA", at positions 524 to 776 of the family's 1533-position model. The record is from RNAcentral.